RNAcentral lists this unclassified non-coding RNA (358 nucleotides) under soil metagenome. Its description in RNAcentral is "partial contains 5.8S ribosomal RNA, internal transcribed spacer 2, and large subunit ribosomal RNA". The stretch from base 1 to 120 matches the Rfam family "5.8S ribosomal RNA", at positions 35 to 154 of the family's 154-position model. The record is from RNAcentral.
GAUGAAGAACGUAGCGAAAUGCGAUAAGUAAUGUGAAUUGCAGAAUUCAGUGAAUCAUCGAAUCUUUGAACGCACAUUGCGCCCGCCAGUAUUCUGGCGGGCAUGCCUGUCCGAGCGUCAUUUCAACCCUCGAACCCCUCCGGGGGGUCGGCGUUGGGGACCUCGGGAGCCCCUAAGCCGGGAUCCCGGCCCCGAAAUACAGUGGCGGUCUCGCCGCAGCCUCUCCUGCGCAGUAGUUUGCACAACUCGCACCGGGAGCGCGGCGCGUCCACGUCCGUAAAACACCCAACUUCUGAAAUGUUGACCUCGGAUCAGGUAGGAAUACCCGCUGAACUUAAGCAUAUCAAUAAGCGGAGGA